RNAcentral lists this long non-coding RNA (286 nucleotides) under Homo sapiens (human). RNAcentral describes it as "non-protein coding lnc-B4GALNT3-6:1". Lineage: Eukaryota; Metazoa; Chordata; Mammalia; Primates; Hominidae. The record is from RNAcentral.
GCUUUUCUUUUUUUUUUAAUUUUAAUUUUUUUCAUGAAUAACUUUUCACAUAAUUUCAGCAGGUUCAUCGCCUCCUGAGUUCACAUGGACCCCCUUGGGAAUUUAUGGACACCCCCGCCCAGGUUAGGAAAACCUGCUCUUGUGUGGGUUGCUUCAAACAAGUUUAAAUUUGCCUUCUCCUAGUUGUCCAUAGAUCUAAGCUUUUUCUAAAAGUCCCAUGGAACUUGUAAUGAGACCUCUAAAUGUCCCAUAUCCCAAAAUGCUGUUGUAGGCUUCUUAGAUUUUG